This 22-nucleotide microRNA is filed under the name Eisenia fetida (common brandling worm). Its description in RNAcentral is "Efe-Mir-2689-P1_3p (mature (guide))". Lineage: Eukaryota; Metazoa; Annelida; Clitellata; Crassiclitellata; Lumbricidae. The record is from RNAcentral.
UAUCCUGGCCUGCAGUGCACGC